AUGGACUUAAUUGCUUCCAUUACCGAAGAGAACAAAAGAAGAAACAUGAAAAGGACUGUAUUGACAACAAUGUAUAUUGAGUCAGUUUGUCUUGCACUAGCUUAUCUUAGUAUGCAAAGGGCAGCAAAGAAUUUAGGAUGCUUCGGUGAUGAGGAGCAUCCGUAUGAUCUUAGGAAGUAUUUGCUCAAAGAAAUAUAUAAUGGUUCAGAAGUAACUUGUUAUGAUGAGUUGCGAUUAACUAAAAGAAACUUCCAUGAUUUACGUUCUAUGUUGCGUGAGAAGUGUGGCUUGGUUGACAACAUAUAUGUGAUUGUAGAAAAGGUUGCAAUGCUUUUAUUGGUGGUUGGACAUGGUCUUAAGAUGAGGUUGCCCCGCGGCACUUACAAGUGUUCUUUAGAGACUAUUAGUAGGCACUUCUCAAGUGUGUUAAAAGCCAUCCUUUCCCUAAGUGGGGAGUUUAUAAAGCUUUCGGAUCCUUCUGUUGAACCUCCAAAUGAUUACAAAUUAUGGUUUGGCAAUGCAUUGGGAGCACUAGACGGGUGUCAUGUUGACGUCUCUGUUGUUCCGGUUGACCAAGGUAGGUAUAAGAAUAGAAAGCAAGAUAUCACCAAAACAUUCUAG
This 621-nucleotide ribosomal RNA is filed under the name Triticum aestivum (bread wheat). RNAcentral describes it as "partial small subunit ribosomal RNA". Lineage: Eukaryota; Viridiplantae; Streptophyta; Magnoliopsida; Poales; Poaceae. The record is from RNAcentral.